GUUCAGAGAACCUCUGGGUUGAUGAGCACAUCCAUGUACCAGGAGAGUGGCUUCCCCGAUUCCAUGGGGACAGAAGCUCCUGAACUCAGGACCCUUCUGGACCUUGCCCUAUGAAUCUCUUCAUGUGGCUGUUCAUCUGUUUCCGUUAUUACAUCCUUUGUAGUAAAACUCCUCACAUAUCCCAGACUUGGAGCAGAAGAAGCGGGCAACCUAGAAACAACGAGUGCACACAAAAAAGAGUCCCAACAAAAGACUGCUAUCUCUAGCCAAAGGACCAGAAAGGGAGUAGUCUGAUCACAGUUGAUUGCAAGUUACUGAAACCAUGGAAAGCCAAACCAAAGAUAAGGGAGGACUACUGUACAUGGCUGUGCCACAAUUUACGUAUCCACUGACGUGCUGAAGGAUAUCUCGGUUGUUUCCAAGUUUUGGCAAUUGUGAAUGAACUGCUAUAGACCUCUGUGUGCAGGUUUUCAUGUGGACGUAAGUCUUCAAUUCACUUGGGUAAAUACCAAGCAGUGUAAUGGCUG
Molecule: long non-coding RNA, 527 nt
Filed under: Equus caballus (horse)
Lineage: Eukaryota; Metazoa; Chordata; Mammalia; Perissodactyla; Equidae
Description: lncRNA (ENSECAG00000046097.1)
Source: RNAcentral